GACGAACGCUGGCGGCGUGCUUAACACAUGCAAGUCGAACGGAAAGGCCCUGCUUUUGUGGGGUGCUCGAGUGGCGAACGGGUGAGUAACACGUGAGUAACCUGCCCUUGACUUUGGGAUAACUUCAGGAAAUUGGGGCUAAUACCGGAUAGGAGCUCCUGCUGCAUUGUGUGGUUUGGAAAUUUUCGGCGGUUGGGGAUGGACUCGCGGCUUAUCAGCUUGUUGGUGGGGUAGUGGCUUACCAAGGAUUUGACGGGUAGCCGGCAUGAGAGGGUGACCGGCAACAUUGGGACUGAGAGACGGACCAGAAUACUACGGGAGGCAGCAGUGGGGAAUAGUGCACAAUGGGAGGAAGCCUGAUGCAGAAACGCAGCGUGCGGGAUGACGGCCUUCGGGUUGUAAACCGCUUUCGCCUGUGACGAAGAGUGAGUGACGGUAAUGGGUAAAGAAGCACCGGCUAACUACGUG
Molecule: ribosomal RNA, 468 nt
Filed under: uncultured bacterium
Lineage: Bacteria
Description: partial 16S ribosomal RNA
Rfam family: Bacterial small subunit ribosomal RNA
Source: RNAcentral